UCUUCCUCCACCUCCAAUUUUCAGUCCGAGUGGCGUCCUGCACGCGCCACCUAUUACGCCGCCGCCGACCCACGUGACGUUGUGGGUGGCGCGUGCGGAUAUGGGGAUUUGGAGAGAAAUGGGUAUGGAAAAGCUACAGCUGGGUUAAGUACUGUGCUUUUUGACAAGGGUCAGAUCUGUGGUGCUUGUUAUGAAGUGAGGUGUGUGGAGGAUCUGCGGUGGUGCAUUCCGGGUACUUCUAUAAUUGUUACAGCCACUAAUUUUUGUGCACCACCAUCUAGAUCAAACCCAUAAUUUGGUGCACAAAAAUUAGUGG
Molecule: unclassified non-coding RNA, 316 nt
Filed under: Hevea brasiliensis (rubber tree)
Lineage: Eukaryota; Viridiplantae; Streptophyta; Magnoliopsida; Malpighiales; Euphorbiaceae
Source: RNAcentral